UUUAACACGGGAUGUUUAGAAUACAGAAUUAUGCUUAUGAGAGAGUGGCUCGGGAAUGAGCUUCAAGAUGGGUCGAAUGGACUCUGAAAAUAGCUUUUUAUUUUGACGCAAGCCCAGUCCGGAUGACAUGGCAUCUUGGUUGGUUCAUAAUAUUUUAUCCAUGUGGCAUGGCUUAGAAAGAAGGGAUUUAGUCCCUUUUAUAUAGUAGGAUUGAAACUAAAAUAAAAAACCAAAGAGAACAAAACACAGCAUCAAAUACUUUACGUAGCGAUAUCUUAUACAAUAAAGUAGGGUAUACUCUCUCCUCCUUCUUCCACGUCCUUAAGGAGGAUGGGGCUUUUGUUGCCACGUGUCGCAACAUAAGAGCAGUUCUGAUUUCCAAGUAAUGCGGUUUUUCUAAUGACACACAUAUUCAAAAUGGACUUUUGUUAUAAUUUCAUUUUGAGCCCAAUCUUUUAGCCCACUCCACUGAACAGCCCACAUGGAAUUAGGUUUCUCCUUCCUUCCUUCUUCCUCUUGCGGCUGCGACCUCCCCCGAAGAAAUUCUACAGAAAUUUAACGCUCCCUUUGAUCUCCGUAACGUCUCACCAAUCCGUUAAUCCGUUCUUUACUCUGAGUUUUUCCUUGAUUAAUCCACUCCUCCACUUGAAGCCUUCGAUCUACCUUUUCAUUUUCCACUGUAACCGCCUGAAGCUCAGCUAUAAAUAUUGGACCUUCCUAGCAUGCACAAUUCAACUCAAAUAAGAUCCAGAAACAUACUUUUUCCUAGCAACCGAUUCCGAUGGCGACUUCAUACACUCUCCUUGCCGAGUUCAAUAACAACUUCGACUUCUUCCACGCUUCUUGCCGACUUGGAUGAGAAGUCAACGCUUUUCCUAGGGACCGUGAAUACCAACCGACUCCGAAGCCUCUAUGAAUAUGGCUUCUUUGCAGCUUCAUUUCUUUGAAUUUAAGGCUGGACGGUGUAGACAGUGGGUUGAGCCGUUGACGCAAGGCUUAUACGUUUCUGGAAAGCACACAAGGUUAACAAAAGUGGAGAGUUCAUGGGUGUAGAUAUGCUUUUGGUCGAUGGUAAGGUAAUCUUACUGAUAUCACUUUGUAUACUUUUACAUAUCGAUUUUGUACUUCUGGAUAUUUUCUCUCCUUCAGUUACUUCAUAGUAGACGUUGAGGCUUCUAUUAACGUUGACCGGCUCACCACCUUCAAAUAACUGCUCGACGAAGGAGCUCUUUAUAAUCUGAGUUUGUUCGAUGUAACACGGAGCAGCCAAACUUUUUCUUCACUGACGCACAUGUUGUUACAGAUUCACUGAUCAAACCCGUUUACUUUGAGAUUACGGAAGCCAGUUCCCCUAUCCCCACAGAGAUCUACAGAUAUCCUAGGAGAAGUGAAAGGAUUCCUUUGCACUGCAAGGUUGAGGAAACUGAUAAUAGACGUCCUGAAGUGUUAACGUAAACUGAAAAGAGGAUUCUUAUCAUUCACCUGCGCAGCAUGCAAUGAUGAGAACGCCAUUGGAGUUGUAAGGUAAUAAAUUUUGAAUACACUAUCGACCAUUAUUCUAACCGCUAACUAGGAGAGCCUUUUCCAUGUUACCUAUCUCAUUGUUAUUGUCUACUUGUCUCUGUAAUUAUUCAUAAUGAACUUUUUCAUGGUGUAUUAACUACAGAGGGUCCACCACUCCAUGAGGAUGGGCGCGCCGGAAAAAGGCCUGUAAUGCUUAAUUUCCCACCUUUGAGAGUUGCCAAAUGGAAGUCCACUCUGCUGCUACUUGGUAUUGUCUUUUCUAAAGUUUGAAUAAAUUGUAUAGGGUUUUACAUCUUAUUUUACGAAAACUAUUGCCUUGACAGUUUUAAAUAAUAUUUGCCUUUCAUGCAGCUCAUUAUCUGUUGUUGUUGUAAAGUAACCUUGGUUAUCUCACCGGUUAUAUGGUUCCCCGCAGGAGCACUGCAAACAUCAUGAUUUGAACCUAAAAACUUAUAUUUUAAUCAGAACUCACAGUAUUUUAAGGUUUGGAAUCUGUGUUAAGGUUGCUGGUAGUGGGCCUGUGAGCUGAUUGUUCUGUAAGCUCAUAAUGUGUCCACAAGUUGGAACAUCAAGAAAAAUGUACGAAAAGACAAAACUGGAAUGUGAAACACAAAAUUUUAUGAGUCUAACAAAUACAAAGUGUCCAGCUGCAUGAGUUUAGAGACUGAGAAGGGUAUGUUUCCAUAUAACAGAUUAUCAAAGGAAUGCCUAACAAUGGAUCGGAGCAUAUAUAUCUCAUAUAUAAAAACAUUAAAGAUAUGUUUUAUAAGUAAGACUUACAGAUAAACAAGAGAAGCACAGUUCUAAUCUCAUAUGAAAUUUGACUGUUUAAAAUCAUCUCAGCAAGUAGAUAUACGAAAGCCAAAGUCGACACACUAACUUGACCAAUGACAAGGACAGUCACAGUUAUAAACAUCAUGGUUCUUACAGCAUUAUUACAUUUACCUGUCAUGUUUCUCAUCUUGAUCACCGCCGAUUUUUUAUUCAAGAAGAAAAUAAGAAUUACGUAGGAAUAGGAUUAAAUCACACAUGAAACUGAAUAAAGUCACUUCUACCUACAUUCUUUGAUGUAACAAGUGGAUACGUUAUAAUUGUUAUUAUACUUACAAUUCUACAUGUUUGAGGCUGAAGCGAUUGUUAAAAAUAGUGGCAUGUAAUUUGAGAAUGUCUCAAGGCUUAUAAAGAAAUAUUACGAUAAACUCGGGUACUUUUAGAAUAUUAAAUUUUUUAUUAUUAGAACCAUUACAUUUACACAUAUUUUCCUUUUUAAAGUUAUAUAUUCUGGAUAAGCUAUCCUGGGAAAAUAGUCAAUUCAGUUUCGAAAAAUGCUAAACCAUGAUUAAAAAAUCCACUUACUGGAUUCAAAAUAUUUUGACAAAUUAUUUAACCGUCCACAAAGAAGCUCCUAACAGAUUACAAAGAAUUUAUUAUCUUCAUUCAAACACGAUAAUCACAAAACAACACACAUGUAUUUACAUGUUUUCCUUUUAGAGCAUCAAUUUUACUUUAUGUUUUAAAUUCACUUAUAUUUACUUUAGUGCAAAAUCAGCUAUAUAUAUUAUUUUUAUUGAAUUGAUUAGUAAAAACCAUUUAUGAUAUUUUUCUUUGACCUAAGAAACUUCAAAACAUAGCAAUACAUUAUUAUAACUAACCAUUUUCAAAUGGAUUAAACAAACAAUUUUGAACUUAUUAGAAAAUAGAACAUAUGAAUCCGGCGCGUAGCGCCGGAAUAUCACUAGUCUUUAUAUAUAAAGUAGAGUUUGAAUCUCUCCUAGGGUGUCCACCUAGGAUUCCAGCUCACUAAUUCAAGUUUUGUGCUGUUAACACGUGUCCCUCUCCUAAAUGCGCAGCGUUUCAUUAAUACGUAAUACUGGUGAGUUGGGCUUAUUUUAUUAUACAUACAUUUUGAUUAUGUGGACUAAACUAAUACAAACUUGGCCCGUUAGCUGUUUUCCCUGCUAAAGCUGUACCGCCAUUAGGGUUCAUCGUUCUCUGCAAAUAUGCUAGAUCUACCAUCUAUGGAGUAAUGGAAGUCUCAUAGAGACGAAUCUUGAGUGGUAGUCAGUGCGUCUGUGUCUGUUGGCAUCUUUUUGUAUUUGAUUCUUCUCAACACAGACGUUACGAGAUCAUUGAUUCAAUAUCAUUAAGGAGUUCUUUACUCUUUCAGCCCACUACAACCACGAUCACACAUUCAAUGUCUUUCUAUCCUCUUCCAAGCGGUGGAUCUCCACCUAUAAAUAUAUUCUUCCAGAAACGUGAGUUUAUGGGAGUUGACAUGAUCCUCCUCGAAGCUGAGUCAAGUGAAUGUCAACCGUCUUGCUCCACCAGCAUGAUGAUGGACAAAGGGUGUUGUUACACCUGUUGCUCCAUGUGGAUCGAAGCUUCAACCGACUGUCUCAGCCUUUACUUGCGUGACCUGCAACAACACUAAUGUUGUUGGUGUCCUCUGGUAUGUAGAACCCUAAACACUUUGUUUUCUUAGCUUUAGAUACCUUUUAAAUUAGUUAAUUUGAUUAAUUAUUCUUUUGUUUUUGAUAUAAUGAAUGAUUUAAUAUUUUUAAAAUUAUAGAUUAUGAAAGGUACUCACAGCAAUGUGUAUAAGGGCCUGAAUCAUCAUAAAGUUAUUAGCUCUCUACAUCGUUUUCAGUCUAUGGAGCAUGAUCUCCCUGGCCUUCCUGCAACUCAAGACGGGCAAUGAUGACGAUGGAGAUGAUAUGCCUGGAAUGAACUCAGUCUCUGCUAAGGUGGACGUUGGUGGUAGUGCUCUUGAGGGAGCACCGACUACAUUAGCAGGUCCAAGUGAUCUCGACACUAAGAAGCCUCCAACUCGAGCAUCUUUGAAGAUGGCCGAGAAAGCACGCAUGGCAUAUGUAUUUCCUAUUUGCAUAAUGCUAAUGCAUCAAUGUUGCUUAACGAGUUUUUUUUCUUUCGUUCUAUCCCUUUGGGUUUGCUAUGUUUUGUUCAAAUGAUGUUUAAAAAUAUUUCUAAGAUUAAAUAAAUUGAUGUAUUUAUCACAUGUUUAAUCAUAUUACGGUUCCAUUUAGAAAUGCAUCACUUAAACAUGUAGAUAUCUUCUCUUUCAAAAAGCUAUUAAAUAUAUUUUAGACAUCAUUUAUGAUAUUAUUAUACUAUUUAUAUAGUAUUUUAAAAUUAUGUUAAACAAUUGAGCUUGGAGCUAGACUAAUUUAUUAUCAUGAAAAAUGAAUUAAUGUAUUUUUUUUUAAACUUGAAACUUCAUGAAUUAAAUAUAGUAAUAUUUUAUUUAAACUUUAAUUUUCUUUUAUUAUGUCAAAGUGAAAUAAAAUAAUAACAAGAUAUAUAUUAUUACAUUUUUUAUUUUUUUUUCUAAUUAUGUUUCUCUGAAAAAUAAAGAAUAAAAAAGUUUACUGUCACUUUAAUUCAAACCAAAAAUGAUUAUUCAAAAUUCUAUGCAUUAUUUAUUUGUUUAUAAUAGCGUUUUAUCUAUUAUGUUUUUUUUUAAAUCACAACAUUAAUAUAAGUUUAUAUAAAAUAGUAUUUAUUAUAAUUUCCCGCCCGUAAGGCGGGCCGGCCCUAGGACGACACGUCACUAAUUCGUGCAACAUGAACUUGACACGUGUCUCAACUUUGAAACGCAUCGUUUCAUUAAAUCGGUUAUCAAUUUGUUUAUGGGUCGCUACGGGCCUGUACAAAAGUUUAUCUAAACCCAAUUCUGAUCUACUUAAAAUGGUCUCCUCUCAUAGACUCUCCGUAGCCGCACAAAAUUCUCUAACCCUAAGUUCUUUGAUCUCUUCAUCUUCUUGGCAAAAAUAAUCUCAAAACGUUAAGCGUCUGUCUGGAUCGAAUCGUCAUCUUCAACAGACUCAUAAACAAAUUUAGUGCAUCCCCUUUACUUCCUUUCUCAGAUUCUUCAACUAUUACUCCACUGUCAAGGUUACUUCCUUUCUCAGAUUCUUCAACUAUUACUCCACUGUCGAGGUUAACCUGCUUAGGUUCUGAGAAGCUGGAAACAUGAAGCUUGGUAGCAAGCUUAUGGGAUAUACUCCUCAGCGAUGCAGAGGCUACAAAAACAGAUUCCAGAAUUUUAUUAGGUAUUUUCCUGAAAUGGGAGACGGGAUUGAAGAAAUAGAAUCAGAAGGUGUUCCCGAAGAGUUUUAAGGAGCCAAAGUCAUUGGAUCCAGAAGCUUCCCUUGCCCUUGGUACCAAAAGGUACCCCUCUUGCUUGCGCUUAGUCCUAGAAUUAUCUCCGAAAUUGCUCGCUUUAAGCCUGACAUCAUUCACGCUUCUUCUCCUGGGAUUGUGGUUUUUGGUGCUUUGGCAAUAGCAAAAAUGCUAUCUAUACCAAUAGUAAUGUCUUAUCACAUACACGUCCCUGUGUAAGCUGUAGUUGAAAAGCGUGGGAAGAACCCUAUUUGUUUGGUUUUGGCUCCGACAAGAGAGCUUGCUGGUUAUGUUGAAAAGUAAUUCAGAGAAGCUCUAUCUCUCGGUGAUGCACUGAACAGAAGAGUGAGAACGGUCUGGAUACAUCAACAGCAGGUGCAUAUACAUGUAUAUAGCCAUGUCCAAUAAUUGGUAAAUAUGUUCCUGUCUAUAUCACCAUUGGUGACGAAGAAAAAUUGAAGCAUCAACACCACUGCAAAGGAAGUAGAUGCAGCAGAAGCCGAAGCAAAAGCAGCUAUAGCUUACACUGAUGAAGCUUCAAAGACACUGAGAGGACGAAACAUCUGCAAAAUGGUGACAGAGGAGGAAGAAGAAUGUGUUGCAGGAGAAGAGAGAGAGAGAAGCCUAGAAGUAGUAUAUGCUGAUGAUUUUCUACUUGGAAACUCUUUUUAGUUGUAACCAGUAAUCUCAGAUGCUAAAACUCUUCAUAUAUGUAACAAAUUAUCCUUUAGCUAGAGAACUUUUAGCAGAUUAAAAAUGUGUUAGAUAUUGUGAAAUUGGAAAGAUAUGUGGGCAAGUUAUACUGUUAUAGCAGGUAAAAAUAUUUGUUUUAUAGUCUGAGAAAGAAUCGGUGGAGCCAUUAA
Molecule: long non-coding RNA, 6527 nt
Organism: Brassica napus (rape)
Lineage: Eukaryota; Viridiplantae; Streptophyta; Magnoliopsida; Brassicales; Brassicaceae
Exons: 12
Source: RefSeq, a predicted model, not a curated record